CCCGUUGGUCUUACUCGUCCCGCUGCGCGCCUGGGUGCGUCCCCGCCCGCACGUAAUACACAACCCAUGGCGACGAGGGCGGGACCGACGCAAGUGGCUUCCCGGGACCGUGGCGGAUGCUGACAACAAGCGCGGCAGGCAACCUGGCCAGGGCGGCGGAACCUCGAGGAAACGGCAACAUGUCAAAGUUAUUCCCAGCACGCAGAUACGUCUACCCCAUGCCAGUCAUCCCAGCCAGCCAUUCCAGUGCAUCUGCCGUAUGCGGUCCCCCAGACAGUCCCGGCGGGUAUGCCCGGGAGCACGACGGGUGUGCACGUGCGGGACCAGCCCAUGGAGGGAGACCGUGGAGGGAGACCGUGACCAACCAUGGAGGGAGCGAAUGGGUCAACGAGAGUAUCUUCAAAUAAAUCCUGAGGAUGUGGGAACCGUUCAGCCCACGACCCCCACACCAGCACGGCCCCAAUGCCAGACACCCGUUCAGCCCACGUCACCCGAGCCCCCUGCCGUACCACGUAGAAGUUCACGACAGCGGCACCAACGUGUUCGUUACGAGUCGGAGGACUUUCGCAAAGGAACUUAAUUUGUGGGGGAAGGAAUGUGAUAGCACCGACAGGCGUCGUUCAGUGUUCGUUAUCAGACGCGGAUAAGCAACCGCCAGCGUGUAUAAGAAGCACGCGCUGUUCCGAAUAAAGCAUUCUCUGUUUCGGA
Molecule: non-coding RNA, 708 nt
Organism: Dermacentor albipictus
Lineage: Eukaryota; Metazoa; Arthropoda; Arachnida; Ixodida; Ixodidae
Source: RefSeq, a predicted model, not a curated record